AUUGAACGCUGGCGGCAGGCCUAACACAUGCAAGUCGAACGGUAACAGGAAACAGCUUGCUGUUUCGCUGACGAGUGGCGGACGGGUGAGUAAUGUCUGGGAAACUGCCUGAUGGAGGGGGAUAACUACUGGAAACGGUAGCUAAUACCGCAUAACGUCGCAAGACCAAAGAGGGGGACCUUCGGGCCUCUUGCCAUUGGAUGUGCCCAGAUGGGAUUAGCUAGUAGGUGGGGUAACGGCUCACCUAGGCGACGAUCCCUAGCUGGUCUGAGAGGAUGACCAGCCACACUGGAACUGAGACACGGUCCAGACUCCUACGGGAGGCAGCAGUGGGGAAUAUUGCGCAAUGGGCGCAAGCCUGAUGCAGCCAUGCCGCGUGUAUGAAGAAGGCCUUCGGGUUGUAAAGUACUUUCAGCGGGGAUGAAGGGAGUAAAGUUAAUACCUUUGCUCAUUGACGGUACCCGCAGAAGAAGCACCGGCUAACUCCGUG
This 490-nucleotide ribosomal RNA is filed under the name uncultured bacterium. Its description in RNAcentral is "partial 16S ribosomal RNA". It matches the Rfam family "Bacterial small subunit ribosomal RNA", at positions 30 to 507 of the family's 1533-position model. The record is from RNAcentral.